Molecule: long non-coding RNA, 1647 nt
Filed under: Homo sapiens (human)
Lineage: Eukaryota; Metazoa; Chordata; Mammalia; Primates; Hominidae
Description: HSALNT0023859
Source: RNAcentral
UCGAAAUAUAAGAAGGAAUGACAGGCAAAGAAAAUUGUAAAUAUAGGUGUAAUCAAAAAGGAAUGAGGCGGGGACAAGAGGGGCAGGAAAAUAUUCACUGAGGAACCAAUGGUGGUUCUUAGAACAGGAAGAUGGUAGAGUCUUCUCAUUUGGUAACAAGUCAGGAGGGAAGUGGUUUAUAGGUGGCAGUUGGUAAACUGGCCUAGGCAUAUCCCAAGGAAGAUAACCAAUCAACUGAGAAGAAAGUUACCUUUCAAGCCACGAUGUGGUUUUUUUUGUUUGUUUGUUUUAGGUAGCUCUCUGCAUUGUUUUUCAAGAAUUAUUCUGUCAUACUUCAUAGACUUUAGCCAUUUUGCUUUAGGAGAGGUGGGCCAAAGCACCUGGGUGUGGGUUGUGAGAGGAGAAGUUGGCUGAAUUAUCUGCAGAAUUGGCUUAGUACUCCUCUUCAUUUUACAAGUAAAAAAAAUCAUGUCUUUUGUCAGACCCUGUUCUUUAGGAUGCCACAGCCCAUAGCCCGCAGCUGGCGGCCUCUGACAAAGAAAUGAAGGAAGCUCAUGACCAGUCUUGUAUUGCCAGCAAGGAGGGCAUGAAGAAAGUGUCACGGAGCAUUUGCCUUUGUGUUGCAAUGGUUGUUGUUGGCAACAUCCCUGAGUUGUACCCACAUUUCAUCUGUUUGAGCUCGUAUUGGGAGAUCAGAGAAGAGCUACAAGGAAGGUAAAGGAUUUGCAUCUGUUAACAAACCUUGGGCUUGUCCUUGGAUUGGUUUCUAGCUACUCUUCUCCAGCUGAGGUUGAGUCAUCGGAAGACGCUCAGUUCUGACCCAGUGGCUCCUCAAGGAAUGGCACCAGCGCUGAGAGAGGAUAGGUUUUUCUCUUGCCAGACUUUUGUGAUGGUUUUGUUUUGAAUAACACGGUCUCCAACUGAUGGAUCUCUUAAGUCUAUUGAUACAAAAAGUACCUCCUUGUAAAUGUUUUUCAGUGACAGGAAAGAUAAUAAUGAACCCAAGAAGCAUAGAAGGAGAGUGUUGGCAAGAGGAAAGGGAAUGGCUGCAGGAGAACAGAGGUUCAGAACCAGGACCUUCUGCCUUGGCCUCCUACCUGCAUGAGUGGCUGGCCACUCUUAGCAUCCACUGCCCACCCUCUGUGGCCACAGGCGAUUCUGCUAAUCUGAGCCAUCUGUGCAUCUUGAUCACAAGGAAGAUACCACCCUAAGCCUCCAAGGCCAGUUGGCCAAACAGAGAUUUGGCCACUCCUCCAGGAAGAGGUUUCUCACUAUGUCAGACGCAUCUCUGUCAGAAGCCCUUGCAAACAGUCAAACCAUUUUGUACUAUCAUUUCUGAUACGCAGCUCAAGAGGCACCAUGGGUACAAUCACAUCUGACAUAAUAUAGCUGCUAGAACACUUGGCCUGGCAGUUUUAGAAAGGGACUUUCAUGAUUAAAACACUCUUUCUCAGGGCAGCAUCUGCGAUGCCACCUACAUCUUUUGCCUGAGGGAUUCCCAGAGGGUCAAUAUCACCUCCUUUUCCCUUCUUUUGCUAACUCAGUGAAGAAAGAGCAAAGAUGAGUGAGUCAGAGCUUGGGAUAAAUUAUUACACAUAUGUCUGUGCAUGUUUGCAUCUGAGAAUAAAUGAAAGAAAAAUUAACCUG